This is a long non-coding RNA of Cyprinus carpio carpio, 490 nucleotides long. The record is from Ensembl. NCBI's taxonomy places the organism in Eukaryota, Metazoa, Chordata, Actinopteri, Cypriniformes, Cyprinidae.
ACCUGUAGUAAUUUUACUGUUUUGUAUUUAAGAUGCUGCAUGAAAUGACAAUGAGGUUUGGAGCAGACUUGGCGAAGAACAUGGAAACAUCUCUGAAUGAAAUGGCCCCAAACAUCAUCAGGAGUGCAAAAGAAGGAAGUCAAAAAAAACUCUACGCCAAUCUCAUUGGACUAGCAGAGGAAACCACAGAAGGAACCCAAAGGUGCUACACCAACCAUAGUGUUUAACGGCUCUCCUGAUCCCCUCAAGGCUGAAAGCGUCAGCAUUAUAAUGGACAAUGUGAGCAUCAUAAGAGAGGCAGACACUGACAUGACACAGGCUGUGGAAUGCCUAUUUGCAGUUUAUUUUCUCUUCAAUGUGCAAUACCCGGUUGACAUUAAGCACACAAUGACUUUUAUUCAAAAAUAUAUGCUUAAACUUAGACAAGAGCAUGGCAAAAGAACACCAAUACCUGUACUGAAAAUGUACAGUCAACUUGUGUAAAUUGUAG